AAGGUGAUAUGAACCGUUAUAACCGGCGAUACCCGAAUGGGGAAACCCAGUGUGAUUCGUCACACUAUCAUUAACUGAAUCCAUAGGUUAAUGAGGCGAACCGGGGGAACUGAAACAUCUAAGUACCCCGAGGAAAAGAAAUCAACCGAGAUUCCCCCAGUAGCGGCGAGCGAACGGGGAGGAGCCCAGAGCCUGAAUCAGCAUGUGUGUUAGUGGAAGCGUCUGGAAAGGCGCGCGAUACAGGGUGACAGCCCCGUACACAAAAGCGCAUGUGCUGUGAGCUCGAUGAGUAGGGCGGGACACGUGGUAUCCUGUCUGAAUAUGGGGGGACCAUCCUCCAAGGCUAAAUACUCCUGACUGACCGAUAGUGAACCAGUACCGUGAGGGAAAGGCGAAAAGAACCCCGGCGAGGGGAGUGAAAAAGAACCUGAAACCGUGUACGUACAAGCAGUGGGAGC
Molecule: ribosomal RNA, 458 nt
Filed under: Salmonella enterica subsp. enterica serovar Typhimurium var. 5-
Lineage: Bacteria; Pseudomonadati; Pseudomonadota; Gammaproteobacteria; Enterobacterales; Enterobacteriaceae
Description: bacterial LSU rRNA
Rfam family: Bacterial large subunit ribosomal RNA
Source: RNAcentral